CCUACGGGUGGCAGCAGUGGGGAAUAUUGCGCAAUGGGCGCAACCCUGACGCAGCCAUGCCGCGUGAAUGAAGAAGGCCUUCGGGUUGUAAAGUUCUUUCCGUAGGGAGGAAGGCAUUUAGGUUACUAGACUAGUCGAUUGCCGUUAACUACAUACGAAGCACCGGCUAACUCCGUGCCAGCAGCCGCGGUAAUACGGAGGGUGCGAGCGUUAGUCGGAAUUACUGGGCGUAAAGUGCACGCAGGCGGGGACUUAAGUCAGAUGUGAACUCCCCGGGCUUAACCUGGGAAUUGCAUUUGAAACUGGGUUGCUAGAGUACUGUAGAGGGAGGUAGAAUUCCAAGUGUAGCGGUGAAAUGCGUAGAGAUGUGGAGGAAUA
Molecule: ribosomal RNA, 378 nt
Filed under: uncultured bacterium
Lineage: Bacteria
Description: partial 16S ribosomal RNA
Rfam family: Bacterial small subunit ribosomal RNA
Source: RNAcentral